AGUGAACGCUGGCGGUAGGCCUAACACAUGCAAGUCGAACGGCAGCACAGUAAGAGCUUGCUCUUACGGGUGGCGAGUGGCGGACGGGUGAGGAAUACAUCGGACUCUACUUUUUCGUGGGGGAUAACGUAGGGAAACUUACGCUAAUACCGCAUACGACCUACGGGUGAAAGCAGGGGAUCUUCGGACCUUGCGCGAUUGAAUGAGCCGAUGUCGGAUUAGCUAGUUGGCGGGGUAAAGGCCCACCAAGGCGACGAUCCGUAGCUGGUCUGAGAGGAUGAUCAGCCACACUGGAACUGAGACACGGUCCAGACUCCUACGGGAGGCAGCAGUGGGGAAUAUUGGACAAUGGGGGCAAGCCUGAUCCAGCCAUACCGCGUGGGUGAAGAAGGCCUUCGGGUUGUAAAGCCCUUUUGUUGGGAAAGAAAAGCAGCAGGUUAAUACCCCGCUGUUCUGACGGUACCCAAAGAAUAAGCACCGGCUAACUUCGUG
Molecule: ribosomal RNA, 492 nt
Filed under: uncultured bacterium
Lineage: Bacteria
Description: partial 16S ribosomal RNA
Rfam family: Bacterial small subunit ribosomal RNA
Source: RNAcentral